GGUAUAGUCCCGAAGCCCACUCAUGUAUCCAAGAUUAGAAGAAAUGAACACGCAGACAGUGUUGGUGUCGUUUGAAGAUCUGGUUAUUGAAUUUACCCAGGAGGAAUGGAAGAUCAUGGACACUGCUCAGAGGACCCUGUACAGGGAUGUGAUGCUUGAGACCUAUGGCAAUCUGCUUUCCUUGGGAUACUACAUUUGCAAGCCUGAUGUGACUUUGGGACAAGGAGCAAUGCCAUGGACAGUGGAAAAACCUGUCAAUGAGCAAGAUUUAGAUGCCCAUAGAAAGAGUGAACUAGUUGGAAAUCAGAAGAGUCAAGAAAUAAACUUAAGGAAAGUUGUAAUCACCAUGUCAAGUUUAAAUGUACAGAAGAGAGUUCACACAGAUGUGAAACUUUAUGAAUGUAAAGACUGUGGGAAAGCUUUUGGUGACACGUUAUUUUUCAGUAUGUAUCAGGGAAAUCACACAGGAAUGAGACCAUAUGAGUGUACAAAGUGUGCAAAAGUUUUUUGUAAUCACUCAGACCUAAUCACACAUCAAAGAAUUCACACAGGGGAGAAACCUUAUGAAUGUAAAGAGUGUGUAAUAGCAUUUUGCCAGCCAUCACACCUAAGCAAACAUCAGAUAAUUCACAGAGAGAAGAAAUCUCAUGAAUGUGUAGAGUGUGGAAAAGUCUUCGGUUAUAAAUCAGUUCUCAAUGCACAUCAGAGAAUUC
Molecule: long non-coding RNA, 713 nt
Organism: Ochotona curzoniae (black-lipped pika)
Lineage: Eukaryota; Metazoa; Chordata; Mammalia; Lagomorpha; Ochotonidae
Exons: 4
Source: RefSeq, a predicted model, not a curated record